This 1382-nucleotide ribosomal RNA is filed under the name uncultured organism. RNAcentral describes it as "SSU rRNA". It matches the Rfam family "Bacterial small subunit ribosomal RNA". The record is from RNAcentral.
GCUCAUGACGAACGCUGGCGGCGCGCCUAACACAUGCAAGUCGAACGAGCGAGAGAGAGCUUGCUUUCUCGAGCGAGUGGCGAACGGGUGAGUAACGCGUGAGGAAUCUGCCUCAAAGAGGGGGACAACAGUUGGAAACGACUGCUAAUACCGCAUAAGCCCACGGUGCCGCAUGGCACAGAGGGAAAAGGAGUAAUCCGCUUUGAGAUGGCCUCGCGUCCGAUUAGCUAGUUGGUGAGGUAACGGCCCACCAAGGCGACGAUCGGUAGCCGGACUGAGAGGUUGAACGGCCACAUUGGGACUGAGACACGGCCCAGACUCCUACGGGAGGCAGCAGUGGGGAAUAUUGCACAAUGGGGGAAACCCUGAUGCAGCGACGCCGCGUGGAGGAAGAAGGUCUUCGGAUUGUAAACUCCUGUUGUUGGGGAAGAUAAUGACGGUACCCAACAAGGAAGUGACGGCUAACUACGUGCCAGCAGCCGCGGUAAAACGUAGGUCACAAGCGUUGUCCGGAAUUACUGGGUGUAAAGGGAGCGCAGGCGGGAAGACAAGUUGGAAGUGAAAUCUAUGGGCUCAACCCAUAAACUGCUUUCAAAACUGUUUUUCUUGAGUAGUGCAGAGGUAGGCGGAAUUCCCGGUGUAGCGGUGGAAUGCGUAGAUAUCGGGAGGAACACCAGUGGCGAAGGCGGCCUACUGGGCACCAACUGACGCUGAGGCUCGAAAGUGUGGGUAGCAAACAGGAUUAGAUACCCUGGUAGUCCACACCGUAAACGAUGAUUACUAGGGUGUUGGAGGAUUGACCCCUUCAGUGCCGCAGUUAACACAAUAAGUAAUCCACCUGGGGAGUACGACCGCAAGGUUGAAACUCAAAGGAAUUGACGGGGGCCCGCACAAGCAGUGGAGUAUGUGGUUUAAUUCGACGCAACGCGAAGAACCUUACCAAGUCUUGACAUCCCUUGACAGGCAUAGAAAUAUGUUUUCUCUUCGGAGCAAGGAGACAGGUGGUGCAUGGUUGUCGUCAGCUCGUGUCGUGAGAUGUUGGGUUAAGUCCCGCAACGAGCGCAACCCUUAUGGUCAGUUACUACGCAAGAGGACUCUGGCCAGACUGCCGUUGACAAAACGGAGGAAGGUGGGGAUGACGUCAAAUCAUCAUGCCCUUUAUGACUUGGGCUACACACGUACUACAAUGGCGUUAAACAAAGAGAAGCGAGACCGCGAGGUGGAGCAAAACUCAGAAACAACGUCCCAGUUCGGACUGCAGGCUGCAACUCGCCUGCACGAAGUCGGAAUUGCUAGUAAUCGUGGAUCAGCAUGCCACGGUGAAUACGUUCCCGGGCCUUGUACACACCGCCCGUCACACCAUGAGAGCCGGGGGGACCCGA